CGUGGUUUAAUUCGAAGCAACGCGAAGAACCUUACCAAGGCUUGACAUCCCCCUGACCGAUUUAGAGAUAGAUCUUUCCCUUCGGGGACAGGGGUGACAGGUGGUGCACGGUUGUCGUCAGCUCGUGUCGUGAGAUGUUGGGUUAAGUCCCGCAACGAGCGCAACCCUUAUCUUUAGUUGCCAGCAUUCAGUUGGGCACUCUAGAGAGACUGCCGGUGACAAACCGGAGGAAGGUGGGGAUGACGUCAAAUCAUCAUGCCCCUUAUGUCUUGGGCUACACACGUGCUACAAUGGUUGGUACAAAGGGCUGCAAGCCAGCGAUGGUAAGCCAAUCCCAUAAAGCCAAUCUCAGUUCGGAUUGUAGGCUGCAACUCGCCUACAUGAAGUCGGAAUCGCUAGUAAUCGCAGAUCAGCAUGCUGCGGUGAAUACGUUCCCGGGUCUUGUACACACCGCCCGUCACACCACGAGAGUUUACAACACCCGAAGUCGGUGAGGUAACCGCAAGGAGCCAGCCGCCUAAGGUGGGGUAGAUG
RNAcentral lists this ribosomal RNA (534 nucleotides) under uncultured bacterium. RNAcentral describes it as "bacterial SSU rRNA". It matches the Rfam family "Bacterial small subunit ribosomal RNA", at positions 940 to 1473 of the family's 1533-position model. The record is from RNAcentral.